GAACCUUACCAACUUUUGACAUGUCCCGUAUGGGUUUCAGAGAUGAGAUCCUUCAGUUCGGCUGGCGGGAACACAGGUGCUGCAUGGCUGUCGUCAGCUCGCGUCGUGAGAUGUUGGGUUAAGUCCCGCAACGAGCGCAACCCUCGGCCUUAGUUGCCAUCAUUCAGUUGGGCACUCUAAGGCGACUGCCGGUGAUAAGCCGGAGGAAGGUGGGGAUGACGUCAAGUCCUCAUGGCCCUUACAGGUUGGGCUACACACGUGCUACAAUGGCGGUGACAGAGGGACGCGAAGGCGCGAGCCUUGGCAAAUCUCAAAAAGCCGUCUCAGUUCGGAUUGGGGUCUGCAACUCGACCCCAUGAAGUUGGAAUCGCUAGUAAUCGCAGAUCAGCACGCUGCGGUGAAUACGUUCCCGGGCCUUGUCACACCGA
RNAcentral lists this ribosomal RNA (428 nucleotides) under uncultured soil bacterium. RNAcentral describes it as "bacterial SSU rRNA". It matches the Rfam family "Bacterial small subunit ribosomal RNA", at positions 966 to 1393 of the family's 1533-position model. The record is from RNAcentral.